RNAcentral lists this ribosomal RNA (403 nucleotides) under uncultured bacterium. RNAcentral's name for it is "bacterial SSU rRNA". It matches the Rfam family "Bacterial small subunit ribosomal RNA", at positions 361 to 764 of the family's 1533-position model. The record is from RNAcentral.
AUAUUGCACAAUGGGCGCAAGCCUGAUGCAGCGACGCCGCGUGUGGGAUGAAGGGGCUACGCCUCGUAAACCACUGUAGCCCGGGACGAAAAACGCCUUAGAGGCGUUAGACGGUACCGGGAAAGUAAGGGUCGGCUAACUACGUGCCAGCAGCCGCGGUAAUACGUAGGACCCAAGAGUUGUCCGGAUUUACUGGGUGUAAAGGGUGCGCAGGCGGAUGGGUAAGUCAGGGGUGAAAGUCUGCAGCUUAGCUGUAGAAUUGCCGUUGAUACUGCGCAUCUUGAGUGUGGGAGAGGUUGAUGGAAUUCCAGGUGUAGCUGUGAAAUGCGUAGAUAUCUGGAAGAACACCAGUGGCGAAGGCGGUCAACUGGCCCAUAACUGACGCUCAUGCACGAAAGCGUGG